Molecule: ribosomal RNA, 427 nt
Filed under: uncultured bacterium
Lineage: Bacteria
Description: partial 16S ribosomal RNA
Rfam family: Bacterial small subunit ribosomal RNA
Source: RNAcentral
UGGGGAAUAUUGCACAAUGGGCGCAAGCCUGAUGCAGCCAUGCCGCGUAUAUGAAGAAGGCCUUCGGGUUGUAAAGUACUUUCAGCGGGGAGGAAGGCGAUGCGGUUAAUAACCGCGUCGAUUGACGUUACCCGCAGAAGAAGCACCGGCUAACUCCGUGCCAGCAGCCGCGGUAAUACGGAGGGUGCAAGCGUUAAUCGGAAUUACUGGGCGUAAAGCGCACGCAGGCGGUCUGUCAAGUCGGAUGUGAAAUCCCCGGGCUCAACCUGGGAACUGCAUCCGAAACUGGCAGGCUUGAGUCUCGUAGAGGGGGGUAGAAUUCCAGGUGUAGCGGUGAAAUGCGUAGAGAUCUGGAGGAAUACCGGUGGCGAAGGCGGCCCCCUGGACGAAGACUGACGCUCAGGUGCGAAAGCGUGGGGAGCAAACA